RNAcentral lists this ribosomal RNA (1010 nucleotides) under uncultured organism. RNAcentral's name for it is "bacterial SSU rRNA". It matches the Rfam family "Bacterial small subunit ribosomal RNA", at positions 356 to 1376 of the family's 1533-position model. The record is from RNAcentral.
GGGGAAUAUUGCACAAUGGGCGCAAGCCUGAUGCAGCGACGCCGCGUGAGGGAUGGAGGCCUUCGGGUUGUAAACCUCUUUUAUCGGGGAGCAAGCGAGAGUGAGUUUACCCGUUGAAUAAGCACCGGCUAACUACGUGCCAGCAGCCGCGGUAAUACGUAGGGUGCAAGCGUUAUCCGGAAUUAUUGGGCGUAAAGGGCUCGUAGGCGGUUCGUCGCGUCCGGUGUGAAAGUCCAUCGCUUAACGGUGGAUCCGCGCCGGGUACGGGCGGGCUUGAGUGCGGUAGGGGAGACUGGAAUUCCCGGUGUAACGGUGGAAUGUGUAGAUAUCGGGAAGAACACCAAUGGCGAAGGCAGGUCUCUGGGCCGUUACUGACGCUGAGGAGCGAAAGCGUGGGGAGCGAACAGGAUUAGAUACCCUGGUAGUCCACGCCGUAAACGGUGGAUGCUGGAUGUGGGGCCCGUUCCACGGGUUCCGUGUCGGAGCUAACGCGUUAAGCAUCCCGCCUGGGGAGUACGGCCGCAAGGCUAAAACUCAAAGAAAUUGACGGGGGCCCGCACAAGCGGCGGAGCAUGCGGAUUAAUUCGAUGCAACGCGAAGAACCUUACCUGGGCUUGACAUGUUCCCGACGGUCGUAGAGAUACGGCUUCCCUUCGGGGCGGGUUCACAGGUGGUGCAUGGUCGUCGUCAGCUCGUGUCGUGAGAUGUUGGGUUAAGUCCCGCAACGAGCGCAACCCUCGCCCCGUGUUGCCAGCGGAUUAUGCCGGGAACUCACGGGGGACCGCCGGGGUUAACUCGGAGGAAGGUGGGGAUGACGUCAGAUCAUCAUGCCCCUUACGUCCAGGGCUUCACGCAUGCUACAAUGGCCGGUACAACGGGAUGCGACGCGGCGACGCGGAGCGGAUCCCUGAAAACCGGUCUCAGUUCGGAUCGCAGUCUGCAACUCGACUGCGUGAAGGCGGAGUCCCUAGUAAUCGCGAAUCAGCAACGUCGCGGUGAAUGCGUUCCCG